CAGCAGCUCUGCUGAGGUGAGUGUCUGCAGAGCAGCAACAUCCUGUUUGGGUUUCUUUUGAAUUUUGGCUUUCUGGUGUGUUUAGCUGUCUGUUGGGGUGUCUCCCAGUGCUGUUUCAUGUGAUUUGUGUUUGUUAUGUUACUCCAAGUGUCUAAUUUGCAAGAUAGCUGGAAGCCCAGUGCUGGCCCUGGGGCUGGAGGAAGUGUUGAGCAGAGCCCUGCUGCUGUGGGUCCUGCUUUCCCCCAGCUGAAGGGGGGAGUUGGCCUAAACUCCUCUAAGUCUGCAAGGAGCAUGAGCUUAAAUUAGUUUUCUUGCAUUAGCAGCAAUGAUGGAGUCCUGCUCUGACCCCCUCCCAAGGAAGAAGGCAGUGGUGGGAAAGGCCAGAGAGAGCCUCCUCUGCCUCAGGCUCUACAGCAGGAAGAAGAAAGCAGGUUAUUCCACCUACAUACACAGACUCCUGAAUCAAACCUGGAACGCGGGUGCCUCCAGCCUGGCGGCUGCUGCUCUCGGCUCGCUGAACAGUCCCCGUCUGCUUGGGGAAGUGGCGCUGGAGGCGGCCAGGCUGUCCUGCUCCGGCAAAAGAAACCACCUCACCCCCAGGGAGAUCCUUCUGGCCAUGAAGCUGGUUCUCCUGCGUGAGCUCUCCAAGACUAACCUGGAUCCUCAAGCUGGCAGCCGGUGCUGAAGGGACCUGGCGAGAUGUGACGGUGUUAAGAGUAUUUUAAUUGUGUUUUGGUAAAUAAAGUAUUUAUUAGCAUUG
Molecule: long non-coding RNA, 760 nt
Organism: Dromaius novaehollandiae (emu)
Lineage: Eukaryota; Metazoa; Chordata; Aves; Casuariiformes; Dromaiidae
Exons: 2
Source: RefSeq, a predicted model, not a curated record